This 520-nucleotide unclassified non-coding RNA is filed under the name uncultured Glomus. Its description in RNAcentral is "SSU rRNA". It matches the Rfam family "Eukaryotic small subunit ribosomal RNA", at positions 569 to 1090 of the family's 1831-position model. Lineage: Eukaryota; Fungi; Glomeromycota; Glomeromycetes; Glomerales; Glomeraceae. The record is from RNAcentral.
CGCAGCCGCGGUAAUUCCAGCUCCAAUAGCGUAUAUUAAAGUUGCUGCAGUUAAAAAGCUCGUAGUUGAAUUUCGGGACUAAUAUGUCGGUCGUGCUUCGGUACGUACUGGCGUAAUUGAUUUCUCCCUUCUGACGAACCAUGAUGUCAUUAACUUGGUGUCAUGGGAAAUCAGGACUGUUACUUUGAAAAAAUUAGAGUGUUUAAAGCAAGCUAACGCUUGAAUACAUUAGCAUGGAAUAAUGAAAUAGGACGUUCGAUCCUAUUUUGUUGGUUUCUAGGAUUGACGUAAUGAUUAAUAGGGAUAGUUGGGGGCAUUAGUAUUCAAUUGUCAGAGGUGAAAUUCUUGGAUUUAUUGAAGACUAACUACUGCGAAAGCAUUUUGCCAAGGAUGUUUUCAUUAAUCAAGAAGGAAAGUUAGGGGGUCGAAGACGAUCAGAUACCGUCGUAGUCUUAACCAUAAACUAUGCCGACUAGGGAUCGGAUGAUGUUAAUUUUUUAAUGACUCAUUCGGCGCCUUA